Nomascus leucogenys (northern white-cheeked gibbon) is the source of this 748-nucleotide long non-coding RNA. RefSeq lists it as uncharacterized. Lineage: Eukaryota; Metazoa; Chordata; Mammalia; Primates; Hylobatidae. The record is from RefSeq and is a predicted model, not a curated record. The transcript is spliced from 3 exons.
GGCAGCGGGCAUCCCAGGGUGCGUGCGGUGCAGGGUGUGCAAGAGGAUGCGAGGUUGGAGGAGGAGCUUUAAAUGGAUUUGGACUCCUCAGGAGGAUUUGCUAAUGGUCUGAACAAGUGUAUAGAACACCGCAAAAGAUUUGGAUACUAUUCCCGUUUUGAUCUAUUCUGCCAAUCUCUACCAAGAACUUGAUUAAAGAUCUGAGAUGCUGUCCCUGGCCUACCCAAGUUUUAAUCUUCUCUUAAAUGUCAACUCAACAACAACACAUAUGGCAAGGGUAAAAACCCUCAAUGUAGAGUUUUUACAAAUCAACAAGAAAAUAAAGAUGAACGUUCGAACUGAAAAACAUGUGCAACAGAAACAAAACCCAAAAUGGCCAGUAAAUGUGAUAGGAGGUUCAACAGGAAAAUGGAUAUCCAUACCCUACUAGUGGAAUUUUUAAUUGGUACAACAUUGCUGGAAGGCAGUUUAAUAGCAUUUGUGAAAAGCCUUUUUAAAAAAGUAUACAUUUGACUUAGCAAUUCUACUUCUGGGAAAGAAUGGAACAAGCUUGCAAAUACACAAACACAUGCGCACGUAUGAUGGGAAUAAUUGGAACAUUGUUUAUAAUAGUGAAACACUGAGAAAAGUUCAUUAAUAAGGGAUUUGGUGUGUAAAUUAUGUUAUAUCUAUAAUAGAAUACUAUCUAGCCAUAAAAUUAUAACAUUGCCAUUUAUUUAUUUAUUUAUGUGGAAAGAUUUUCACAACA